UACGGAGGGUGCAAGCGUUGUCCGGAUUUACUGGGCGUAAAGGGCGUGUAGGCGGGACGGUCAGUCGGAGGUGAAAGGUGAGGGCUCAACUCUCACACUGCCUUCGAUACUGCCGUUCUUGAAUGCAGGAGAGGAUAGUGGAAUUCUCGGUGUAGCGGUGGAAUGCGCAGAUAUCGAGAGGAACACCCGUGGCGAAAGCGGCUAUCUGGCCUGACAUUGACGCUAAGGCGCGAAAGCAUGGGGAGCAAACAGG
This 253-nucleotide ribosomal RNA is filed under the name uncultured bacterium. RNAcentral's name for it is "partial 16S ribosomal RNA". It matches the Rfam family "Bacterial small subunit ribosomal RNA", at positions 524 to 776 of the family's 1533-position model. The record is from RNAcentral.